RNAcentral lists this unclassified non-coding RNA (1870 nucleotides) under Neodiprion lecontei (redheaded pine sawfly). RNAcentral describes it as "serine proteinase stubble, transcript variant X1". The record is from RNAcentral. Lineage: Eukaryota; Metazoa; Arthropoda; Insecta; Hymenoptera; Diprionidae.
ACGGUGCGAGGUGCAGGCUUAAGGAGGAGUGGGUCUCGAACGAGUCUUCUUCGAAUAGACAGAUAGUCGUGGACACGGAGCGCAUACUCGGGUUCACCUGGUUGCCCGAGGAUAACUAAUAAGCCGGGACUAUUGCAGUUUAGCUGUACGAAGUGUGGAGAACAGUUUUUGAACACAGAACCGUAACAGCUAUGUGAUCCAAAGUCAAAAUUAAGCUCGAUGGGAGAGACAAAAUAUGACAAAAAACAAGCCGCGCAGUAAACUUGACCGGAAAACGAUAAUAUAACAUGACAAUUAUCAGUAAAGAAAAAAUAGUCGUCAAGACAAUCGUGAAGGUGACUAAUUGACCGUUGUAAUCGUAAUAUCAUCGAUGUUGGUGUCUUUGAUAACUUAAUAAAUAAAAUACUUCGCUUUCACCGCAGAACGGACGAACGAAUUUCUUAUACGAGAUAUACUUACCCUGCUGUCUCUUCAGCUGUUUAUAAGUGAAAGAAAGUUCCUUGAGAGAAACCUGUGUGAAGUUAACCCGGUGGAUUAGCCUCAAUUAUUACAACUGUGGUGCAAUGCGUGGGACGACAACAUGUUGGAUCCAGAUAAUAUUUGUCGCUUGCGUAACCUCAUCGCCUGGCCCGGCAACGAACAGCCCAGUAGAAGCAGUCAGCACACAUUCAAGCACUGUGUCAUCGUUUUCCGAAAACGUGGAAGUGACGGAGGGCCGAAGAUACGACGGCGAAUACGCGGUGAGUGGGAAAACAAACGAGACUGACGUGUCGUCGACGGUGAGGAAGAGGCGAUACGUUCGCUUUCCGUCGAACAAUCCAUACAAGUUCGAAAUUCCCGGAGCGGCAAACGGCCCCUUCGUCAAAUCGUACCUCGGACGUCAAUUGCCGUACCCAGUUUGGCCCGACUUCAAAUCUGUAUGGCGAAAUCCCGUCAUGGGGCAUCGGACACCCAGACUAAUUUUCCGUGACGAUUACUCCAGAGGCACUCCUGGUGGCCUAACCAGUUCUCUUUUUUCCUCCAAUCAGCUACAAGAUUCGGAUGACACUUUCAGAGUUUCAGAUCAAAGGAAGCAGAUAUCUUUCAACGAAUACCCAAGACUAGAUAUAGAAUGCGGAAUAUCCGUUUCGAAGCAAACGGCGCAGCGAAGAAUUGUGGGUGGAGACGAAGCUGGUUUCGGUAGCUUCCCAUGGCAGGCCUACAUUCGUAUCGGUUCCAGCAGAUGCGGCGGUACGCUGGUUAACCGAUUUCAUGUCGUGACGGCCGGUCACUGUGUCGCCAAAGCGUCUGCCCGACAAGUUCAAGUUACACUUGGAGAUUACGUUGUGAAUUCAGCGGCUGAACCGCUUCCGGCGUACACCUUUGGCGUGAGAGACAUCCGCGUUCAUCCCUACUUCAAAUUUACACCACAGGCGGACAGGUUCGACGUGGCUGUACUCCGGCUGGACAGGCCGGUUCAUUACAUGCCACAUAUCGCACCGAUCUGUUUGCCCGACAAGAACGAAGACUUCCUGGGACAAUACGGCUGGGCCGCCGGCUGGGGCGCACUUCAAGCUGGUAUUUAUGAUUUGGUUCUAGAUUACGCCCAAAAACAUUGCAAGCAGUCGAUGUGCCUGUGAUUGAUAACAGAGUGUGCGAGCGAUGGCAUCGUUCGAACGGCAUAAACGUUGUAAUUUAUGAUGAAAUGAUGUGUGCCGGUUAUAGCAGCGGUGGGAAAGAUUCUUGCCAGGGUGACAGCGGAGGCCCGCUGAUGCUGGAGAAGACCGGAAGGUGGUACCUGAUCGGUAUAGUUUCAGCUGGAUAUUCUUGCGCCCAGCCUGGCCAACCCGGAAUUUACCACCGUGUUGCAAAAACUGUCGACUGGAUAACG